UACGGAGGGUGCGAGCGUUGUUCGGAAUCACUGGGCGUAAAGGGCGUGUAGGCGGUCCACUAAGUCUGAUGUGAAAGCCCGGGGCUCACCCCCGGAAGUGCAUUGGAAACUGGUGGACUCGAGUCCCGGAGAGGAAGGUGGAAUUCCUGGUGUAGCGGUGAAAUGCGUAGAUAUCAGGAGGAAUACCGGUGGCGAAGGCGGCCUUCUGGACGGUGACUGACGCUGAGACGCGAAAGCGUGGGGAGCAAACAGG
RNAcentral lists this ribosomal RNA (253 nucleotides) under uncultured bacterium. Its description in RNAcentral is "partial 16S ribosomal RNA". It matches the Rfam family "Bacterial small subunit ribosomal RNA", at positions 524 to 776 of the family's 1533-position model. The record is from RNAcentral.